RNAcentral lists this transfer RNA (72 nucleotides) under Camelus bactrianus (Bactrian camel). It matches the Rfam family "tRNA". Rfam says of the family: Transfer RNA (tRNA) molecules are approximately 80 nucleotides in length. Their secondary structure includes four short double-helical elements and three loops (D, anti-codon, and T loops). Further hydrogen bonds mediate the characteristic L-shaped molecular structure. tRNAs have two regions of fundamental functional importance: the anti-codon, which is responsible for specific mRNA codon recognition, and the 3' end, to which the tRNAs corresponding amino acid is attached (by aminoacyl-tRNA synthetases). tRNAs cope with the degeneracy of the genetic code in two manners: having more than one tRNA (with a specific anti-codon) for a particular amino acid; and 'wobble' base-pairing, i.e. permitting non-standard base-pairing at the 3rd anti-codon position. The record is from Rfam by way of RNAcentral. Lineage: Eukaryota; Metazoa; Chordata; Mammalia; Artiodactyla; Camelidae. RNAcentral also lists the same sequence under 2 other names.
GAGGGGAUAGCUCAGUGACAGAGCAUGUGCUUAGCAUGAACGAGGUCCUAGGUUCAAUCUCCAGUUCCUUCA